RNAcentral lists this ribosomal RNA (1544 nucleotides) under Escherichia coli SE11. RNAcentral describes it as "16S ribosomal RNA". It matches the Rfam family "Bacterial small subunit ribosomal RNA". The record is from RNAcentral. Lineage: Bacteria; Pseudomonadati; Pseudomonadota; Gammaproteobacteria; Enterobacterales; Enterobacteriaceae.
UUAAAUUGAAGAGUUUGAUCAUGGCUCAGAUUGAACGCUGGCGGCAGGCCUAACACAUGCAAGUCGAACGGUAACAGGAAGAAGCUUGCUUCUUUGCUGACGAGUGGCGGACGGGUGAGUAAUGUCUGGGAAACUGCCUGAUGGAGGGGGAUAACUACUGGAAACGGUAGCUAAUACCGCAUAACGUCGCAAGACCAAAGAGGGGGACCUUCGGGCCUCUUGCCAUCGGAUGUGCCCAGAUGGGAUUAGCUUGUUGGUGGGGUAACGGCUCACCUAGGCGACGAUCCCUAGCUGGUCUGAGAGGAUGACCAGCCACACUGGAACUGAGACACGGUCCAGACUCCUACGGGAGGCAGCAGUGGGGAAUAUUGCACAAUGGGCGCAAGCCUGAUGCAGCCAUGCCGCGUGUAUGAAGAAGGCCUUCGGGUUGUAAAGUACUUUCAGCGGGGAGGAAGGGAGUAAAGUUAAUACCUUUGCUCAUUGACGUUACCCGCAGAAGAAGCACCGGCUAACUCCGUGCCAGCAGCCGCGGUAAUACGGAGGGUGCAAGCGUUAAUCGGAAUUACUGGGCGUAAAGCGCACGCAGGCGGUUUGUUAAGUCAGAUGUGAAAUCCCCGGGCUCAACCUGGGAACUGCAUCUGAUACUGGCAAGCUUGAGUCUCGUAGAGGGGGGUAGAAUUCCAGGUGUAGCGGUGAAAUGCGUAGAGAUCUGGAGGAAUACCGGUGGCGAAGGCGGCCCCCUGGACGAAGACUGACGCUCAGGUGCGAAAGCGUGGGGAGCAAACAGGAUUAGAUACCCUGGUAGUCCACGCCGUAAACGAUGUCGACUUGGAGGUUGUGCCCUUGAGGCGUGGCUUCCGGAGCUAACGCGUUAAGUCGACCGCCUGGGGAGUACGGCCGCAAGGUUAAAACUCAAAUGAAUUGACGGGGGCCCGCACAAGCGGUGGAGCAUGUGGUUUAAUUCGAUGCAACGCGAAGAACCUUACCUGGUCUUGACAUCCACGGAAGUUUUCAGAGAUGAGAAUGUGCCUUCGGGAACCGUGAGACAGGUGCUGCAUGGCUGUCGUCAGCUCGUGUUGUGAAAUGUUGGGUUAAGUCCCGCAACGAGCGCAACCCUUAUCCUUUGUUGCCAGCGGUCCGGCCGGGAACUCAAAGGAGACUGCCAGUGAUAAACUGGAGGAAGGUGGGGAUGACGUCAAGUCAUCAUGGCCCUUACGACCAGGGCUACACACGUGCUACAAUGGCGCAUACAAAGAGAAGCGACCUCGCGAGAGCAAGCGGACCUCAUAAAGUGCGUCGUAGUCCGGAUUGGAGUCUGCAACUCGACUCCAUGAAGUCGGAAUCGCUAGUAAUCGUGGAUCAGAAUGCCACGGUGAAUACGUUCCCGGGCCUUGUACACACCGCCCGUCACACCAUGGGAGUGGGUUGCAAAAGAAGUAGGUAGCUUAACCUUCGGGAGGGCGCUUACCACUUUGUGAUUCAUGACUGGGGUGAAGUCGUAACAAGGUAACCGUAGGGGAACCUGCGGUUGGAUCACCUCCUUA